GGACACCCUAAAUUUUUUCAUUCUCAGAAUCAGAAAGCUUGCACGUACAACGAAUAUACUCACAAGACAGUUACUAUACCAGGUUGCCCAAUGCAUGUGAAUCCAGUUUAUACCUACCCUGUAGCUAUCAGUUGCAAGUGUGGUAAAUGUAACACAGACUACAGUGAAUGCAUACAGGAUGUGAUUAAAACAAAUUACUGUACAAAAUCUAAAAAGCCCAAUCAGAUUGGCUUAUCUAAUUAUAUCUAGUAACUAUCUAUCAGAAUAAUCGCAAAUCAUGAUUGCAGUAUGAUAGUCUUCAGAUACUCAAAAUCUGACCCUUGUUUUGCUUAGAACCUUCAUGCAAUCGUUAUGGCAUCCAGAACUUUUAGCAAUGUAAGUUUUCUUCUGUUUAUGGUAAAUAUGAGACUUAAUGCUUUAGAAAGGCAGUCAUGGCAAUGUACUUAGAACAUGUAGAAUACAGCCAAAAAUUGGAUCACUUUAUUACACCAGAAGGUCUGUUUCCAUAAAUAGUUGCAUGUAGAAAUAGAUGGAUAGUUAUUAGGUAAUUUGUAAAAUGUGAUUUUCUUUUUAAACCGUACACAGAUUUAGUUCACCCUAAGUUAUUUUGCCUUCUUUCUCGAGAAACUAAUGUUACAUGAUUCAUGAAAAAGAAAGGAACAUUAUGUUGUUAGGAAUACGAAACUGUAUGCCUAACACUAUAGUGUUCCACUGCCUUCACGCCUCUCACCCCAUGACCAUGAGAGGGUUAUAAACUCUUUCACUUACUUGUUUUCAGCACCAAGGGCCCUCGGCACUGGAUCGCUCUCUGCCUCCUCUGGCGUCAGUGAUGGAGGAAAUCUAAUGUGCAUGAAUUAAUGCUUUUCAAGAUGCUGGAUGUCCUCAUGCAAAUAGUGAGGAUAUCCAGCAUUGUUUCACAGAGUUAAAUUCCGUGAAAGGCUUGGAAGCAUCAGGUAGACACCCACUAGAGGAAUUCUUCAAAAAGCCAAUGUAAACAUUGCAGUUUCUCUAAAACUGCAAUGUUUUACAUUGCAGGGUUAAGGAGACUGAGGGAAAUCAACCAGACCACUUCAAUUAGAUGAAGUGGUCUGGGAGCCUAUAGUCUCCCUUUAACUGAAUAACGUUUCAGACAUCCCAGAUAAUGCUAUAACUAGACAUAUGAUUUCUGCCGUGAAGGAUAUUUCUUUUCAUCGAAAUACAUCUAAAGGAAAUUAGAGACCAUGCUGGAACAUUACCACAUAUGAGAAGGAUCUGCCAUAACAUGGAUGGUUGUGGACCAAAAGUAUGUAGGAACAUCACAAAUCUUUGCCUUUAUCUUCUCAAAAAAAAGAGCAGUGGGCACUUUCUGCUCUGGAGUAAUGGUUAGGUUUCUUAGUGAUUAGGUUUUCUAGGGGAUGUUAGAUAAGGUGUGAAUGGC
Pelobates cultripes (western spadefoot toad) is the source of this 1417-nucleotide non-coding RNA. NCBI's taxonomy places the organism in Eukaryota, Metazoa, Chordata, Amphibia, Anura, Pelobatidae. The record is from the annotation of a GenBank genome assembly.